AAAUUUCUAUCCGUCGCUCGGGUAGUCAAGGCUCCUCCACCACCUCUUCCCGCAGCUCGUGGAGGCGCCGCUACUCUUCCUGCGCGUGCUGGAGCGACCGUCGUCGAACACCCUCAUCUGCUUGUGGAGACGCCACGGCAUCCUUGCCGGCACCGAGCAAGGCGCAUAUGUCGAAGAAGGCCAGCGCUGUGCAGUGUCCCCGUGCCGCUGUACGAUGUCCCGUGGCGCCGAGCGCUCCGGCAAGCACCCAGCAGCUAC
This 258-nucleotide long non-coding RNA is filed under the name Setaria italica (foxtail millet). RNAcentral's name for it is "long non-coding RNA (SITA_LNC003295)". The record is from RNAcentral. Lineage: Eukaryota; Viridiplantae; Streptophyta; Magnoliopsida; Poales; Poaceae.